AGGAGGAACAACUGCAGAGGCUGCAGCAGCUUGGAGCCCUGGAGUCAGCUCCCACAGAACUACAGAGCUCUCAGCCUGCAGGGCCUGGAGGCUCCGGGGCGGC
Molecule: microRNA precursor, 103 nt
Filed under: Canis lupus familiaris (dog)
Lineage: Eukaryota; Metazoa; Chordata; Mammalia; Carnivora; Canidae
Description: mir-8834 microRNA precursor family
Rfam family: mir-8834 microRNA precursor family
Source: Rfam by way of RNAcentral